RNAcentral lists this ribosomal RNA (315 nucleotides) under Triticum aestivum (bread wheat). Its description in RNAcentral is "partial small subunit ribosomal RNA". The record is from RNAcentral. Lineage: Eukaryota; Viridiplantae; Streptophyta; Magnoliopsida; Poales; Poaceae.
AUGCACACAAUUAUCUCAAUUCUAAUCACAAAUUACAGCAAUUUUGGACAUAGAGCAGUCACACAAUUAAGCACAAAAGCAAUCACACAAUUAAGCUACAAAGGGAACAUCAACAAGUUGAGGAAGCAGGAAGAACUUGCCCGUAAGAGAGAGGAACGAGCAGAUGGGCCACUCCUACCGCCAUGGCUGAAGUCGCGGCUCCCUCCAUCCCGUGGGAGAGCGUUGCCUAGGGAGGCUGGAGAAGAGCGUUGCGAGGGGAGGCUGGAGAAGGAAUCUCAGAGGAUUCGCAGAGGGGAGUCGGGGUCGGAGACCUAG